ACGGGGGCGAUGCCUUCGCUCUCCUGCCACAACCUCCUCGACCUCGCCGCGGCCGACGAGGUGCCCCUGCCGUCGCCCACGCCGCUUCGCCUCCCGCGCGUCAUGUCCGUCGCGUCCCCGGCCUCGCCCACCUCGCCAUCCCCGGCCGCCCCGCCGCGCCGCGUCAUCGUCUCCCACCGCCUCCCGCUCCGCGCGUCGCCGGACCCGGCCGCGCCGUUCGGGUUCAACUUCUCCGUCGACUCCGGCACCGUCGCGUACCAGCUCCGCUCGGGGCUGCCCGCCAACGCGCCCGUCCUCCACAUCGGCACCCUCCCAGCGGCCGCGGCGGAGGCCGCCUCAGAUGAGUUGUCCAACUACCUGCUGGCCAAUUUCUCGUGCCUGCCGGUGUACCUUCCCACCGACCUCCACCACCGCUUCUACCACGGAUUCUGCAAGCACUAC
Molecule: long non-coding RNA, 441 nt
Filed under: Sorghum bicolor (sorghum)
Lineage: Eukaryota; Viridiplantae; Streptophyta; Magnoliopsida; Poales; Poaceae
Description: long non-coding RNA (SBIC_LNC007474)
Source: RNAcentral